This is a long non-coding RNA of Topomyia yanbarensis, 1245 nucleotides long. RefSeq lists it as uncharacterized. NCBI's taxonomy places the organism in Eukaryota, Metazoa, Arthropoda, Insecta, Diptera, Culicidae. The transcript is spliced from 3 exons. The record is from RefSeq and is a predicted model, not a curated record.
AUAAGUUAGCCAGUAAUGGUGCGGGCCUAACUAAAGAGAUUACAACUUUUAGAGGUCGCAUGCCACUGUUAACACUGAUAAUUUAUCAUCUCGCUUUUACAUAUGCUAGGCCCAUUAGUUUGACACAUAUUGCUCCGGGUACACACAUGUCAAAGUAACGGGAUACAAUAUGCUAGAGCGAGACCCCAUGUUUCAGUCCGUGAAUGCAUGGAGACAGUAGCGCUUAGUUUCGUCUAGUCAACGACACGACGUACCACUUAAUGAAACAUCCUGAACAAAAAGUGAUCGAGUUUUUUACCGACAGUUAUCAGCACAUUGAGUGGCCCCUCGAUGCGAACUAAAAAUAAUUUUUCCACCAACACUUCUUUGUUUAUUUUAUUUUUGGUUGCUGUAUAGCAACCAUGUUAUUUUUCUGCUUUUUCGUUCAAUUACGUUUGUUGCCUGACAAUAGCCGGAAAAUAUAUCCUGCCGGGUGAUCUUUUGGCCGCCGCUUCGCUAUCCGAUUUGUUCGAUAUACCGUUUGUGACAGAAUCUCCAUCCGUUGCUUCGGUAGUCCAUUCGUUCUUCGGAUCGUUUGACAUGGUCAUCGGAGAGAAACUCAAACAGUUGCCAUUUGUACUUGUGCUGCUGUUUAGCUAGUUUUGACUACAUGACACCGAUUGUAUGCCAGGAGAUCAAUGUGGCCGUAAAACAGGCUUGAAAAGAAGCUGCUGCCAAGCAUUUGUCUCAAUGUGGCACCAAAGGUACGCUACUAGGCGCUGACCUACGAUCGCAAUUUUAACGAUGCCAAUUGGAUGUCGUUCCUGAGAAGUCCCAAGUUCGAUAGCCUGUAUCUGACUAUCGAUACAAAUCACAUCCUAUCAAUAAUUUCGUGUGAACAAGGUAAACUUUCGUAGCAAGUGAAGGGAAAUUCGUGAAUUCCGUUCCAAUUCAAUUCGCACAUCUCCAUUCUCGAAAUAAUGAAAGAUAGGGGCUUAAACAAUCAUCUUCAACCGAAUAUAGGAAUAUAAAUCAAGACAGUUCUAAUUGCAAUUGGUUUCUGAAAGCUGAACCAAAUUACCUUCCAGUCAUGCUGAAUUCGCGACGAAGGCAUUGAAAUUUUAUUGCAUAUUUUUUACACGGAUUUCUAUCCGAACGAACAGAAAGCUGCUGAGGCCCUGGAGUGGUGCAGUCUCUCCUAAAAAGGGGAGCUCCACUUGUCGUUCAUGAGGUUGUGUUUAAUGCAUGUGAAUAAGUUUUUGUAAU